GAUGAACGCUGGCGGCGUGCCUAAUACAUGCAAGUCGAGCGAACGGACGAGAAGCUUGCUUUUCUGAUGUUAGCGGCGGACGGGUGAGUAACACGUGGAUAACCUACCUAUAAGACUGGGAUAACUUCGGGAAACCGGAGCUAAUACCGGAUAAUAUGUUGAACCGCAUGGUUCAAAAGUGAAAGACGGUCUUGCUGUCACUUAUAGAUGGAUCCGCGCUGCAUUAGCUAGUUGGUAAGGUAACGGCUUACCAAGGCAACGAUGCAUAGCCGACCUGAGAGGGUGAUCGGCCACACUGGAACUGAGAAACGGUCCAGACUCCUACGGGAGGCAGCAGUAGGGAAUCUUCCGCAAUGGGCGAAAGCCUGACGGAGCAACGCCGCGUGAGUGAUGAAGGUCUUCGGAUCGUAAAACUCUGUUAUUAGGGAAGAACAUAUGUGUAAGUAACUGUGCACAUCUUGACGGUACCUAAUCAGAAAGCCACGGCUAACUACGUG
RNAcentral lists this ribosomal RNA (497 nucleotides) under uncultured bacterium. Its description in RNAcentral is "partial 16S ribosomal RNA". It matches the Rfam family "Bacterial small subunit ribosomal RNA", at positions 28 to 507 of the family's 1533-position model. The record is from RNAcentral.